This 467-nucleotide ribosomal RNA is filed under the name uncultured bacterium. RNAcentral describes it as "partial 16S ribosomal RNA". It matches the Rfam family "Bacterial small subunit ribosomal RNA", at positions 28 to 508 of the family's 1533-position model. The record is from RNAcentral.
GAUGAACGCUGGCGGCGUGCUUAACACAUGCAAGUCGAACGGAAAGGCUCCUGCUUGCAGGGGUACUCGAGUGGCGAACGGGUGAGUAACACGUGGGUGAUCUGCCCUGCACUUCGGGAUAAGCCUGGGAAACUGGGUCUAAUACCGGAUAGGACGAUGGUUUGGAUGCCAUUGUGGAAAGUUUUUUCGGUGUGGGAUGAGCUCGCGGCCUAUCAGCUUGUUGGUGGGGUAAUGGCCUACCAAGGCGUCGACGGGUAGCCGGCCUGAGAGGGUGUACGGCCACAUUGGGACUGAGAUACGGCCCAGACUCCUACGGGAGGCAGCAGUGGGGAAUAUUGCACAAUGGGCGCAAGCCUGAUGCAGCGACGCCGCGUGGGGGAUGACGGCCUUCGGGUUGUAAACUCCUUUCGCUAGGGACGAAGCGCAAGUGACGGUACCUGGAGAAGAAGCACCGGCUAACUACGUGC